Molecule: long non-coding RNA, 1147 nt
Organism: Salvelinus namaycush (lake trout)
Lineage: Eukaryota; Metazoa; Chordata; Actinopteri; Salmoniformes; Salmonidae
Exons: 2
Source: RefSeq, a predicted model, not a curated record
UAACAACACAGACCUUUGCGAAACUGAACAACGUGUAACACGACGAGGGGGAAUUGUAGAUUUAAUUUUGAGCUUGCAUGAAAUGAGCACAUGUCGUUUGCCAAAGUUGGAAACUACAGCUCCCAAUAUGAUAUGGUUUCUGGAUCACGUGAUUGACCAGCUGAGAAAUAUAUGCGUGAUGUAAACAAACAUACUAAACUCAUGAUUUUAGUCUACUGCAAUGAAUAUAUGUCAAUGGGUUGGCUUUAUUCAAUACGCCCAACUUUAUGUAAGGUUUGUAUAAUAAUACACACAAGGCUUAGAAUGAAGAGAAAUUAAGCAAGGAGGUUGAUCCUUCCGAUCUAGUACAUCUACUUCAACUGUCGCGUCAAAACCGUUGCAAAGGAGGGUAGCUACGGUAACCAACAUCCUGAAUCCAUGACAGGUAUGUCCUCACCAACCAACUAUCAAGGUAGACUUUUGCCAAUGCCUACCAAUGUCGGUUCCCCAACAGCAGGAACAAAGCAGAGUCCUGUGUGUAAACCCUGGGAAUCCUGUUUUCUCAUGUAUGAUGACCCCAGUGGUUAAAGACAAUUCUCCUGUGCCAUGGGCAAAGCCUCCAAGCCCCUUCUACAAGACCACCUCAAGUGACUAUGGUGUUAGUCCUCCAACAUUUGAAUCAUCACCCUGUACCUACCACCCACUUUCAAAGAAUCACAGAAGACCUUGGGAACUGUGGGAUGUUACGUGACAAUGCCUUCAAUACAAGUCUUGAUCGAAGCAGGGUAUAUGACUGCCCUAAUUUGCAAAACACUAUCUGAUUUGAUUGACAUGGUAUACCAUUGUCUUAGUGUUGAUUAAACUACCUGGUGGACCUUCAUUGACAAUGAUUGGUGUCCUGAAAACACAUAAAAGCUGUACAUUUAAGUUCUACAAUAUGCAUGUUGUAUCAUUCUACAUACAAAGUAAAGCAUAUUUUUACUUGCACUUAUGUUAUGUGACAUUAUACAGAAACACUAAUAGCAGGAGCAAGUUACAAUGUUUGACUUAAUUUUUUUAUUGUAUCACUAUAAACACAUUGAACAGGUGGGCUAUCAGCAUUAAUUUUAAAGUGUUCCUCAUUGCAAAAAAAUAUACAAAUGUAUUAAACAUGUAUUUAUUCAUUCGG